UACGGAGGGAGCUAGCGUUGUUCGGAAUUACUGGGCGUAAAGCGCACGUAGGCGGCUUUGUAAGUUAGAGGUGAAAGCCUGGAGCUCAACUCCAGAAUUGCCUUUAAGACUGCAUCGCUUGAAUCCAGGAGAGGUGAGUGGAAUUCCGAGUGUAGAGGUGAAAUUCGUAGAUAUUCGCAAGAACACCAGUGGCGAAGGCGGCUCACUGGCCCGGUACUGACGCUGAGGUGCGAAAGCGUGGGGAGCAAACAGG
RNAcentral lists this ribosomal RNA (253 nucleotides) under uncultured bacterium. Its description in RNAcentral is "partial 16S ribosomal RNA". It matches the Rfam family "Bacterial small subunit ribosomal RNA", at positions 524 to 776 of the family's 1533-position model. The record is from RNAcentral.